GACGAACGCUGGCGGCGUGCCUAAUACAUGCAAGUAGGACGCAGUUGCGAACGGGUGAGUAACGCGUAGGUGACUACCUAUUAGAGGGGGAUAACUAUUGGAAACGAUAGCUAAUACCGCAUACUAGUAGAUGGACCUGCGUUGUAUUAGCUAGUAGGUAGGGGAAUGGCCUACCUAGGCAACGAUACAUAGCCGACCUGGGGGGGUGAUCCGCCACACUGGGACUGGGACACGGCCCAGAACCCCACGGGAGGCAGCAGAAGGGAAUCUUCGGCAAUGGGGGGAAACCUGACCGAGCAACGCCGCGGGAGUGAAGAAGGGUUUCGGAGCGUAAAGCUCUGUUGUUAAGGAAGCGGUACUUAACCAGAAAGGGACGGCUAACUACGUGCCAGCAGCCGCGGUAAUAC
This 407-nucleotide ribosomal RNA is filed under the name uncultured bacterium. Its description in RNAcentral is "partial 16S ribosomal RNA". It matches the Rfam family "Bacterial small subunit ribosomal RNA", at positions 28 to 526 of the family's 1533-position model. The record is from RNAcentral.